This 253-nucleotide ribosomal RNA is filed under the name uncultured bacterium. RNAcentral's name for it is "partial 16S ribosomal RNA". It matches the Rfam family "Bacterial small subunit ribosomal RNA", at positions 524 to 776 of the family's 1533-position model. The record is from RNAcentral.
UACAGAGGCCUCGAGCGUUAGGCGGAAUCACUGGGCUUAAAGCGUGUGUAGGCGGACUUCUAAGUACCUUGUGAAAUCCCACGGCUUACCCGUGGAACUGCUCGGUAUACUGGUUGUCUUGAGCCACCUAGGGGCGAGUGGAACAAAUGGUGGAGCGGUGAAAUGCGUAGAUAUCGUUUGGAACGCCAACGGUGAAAACAGACAGCUGGGAGUGUGCUGACGCUGAGACACGAAAGCCAGGGGAGCGAACGGG